UUCGAUUGACCAUGCAAUCAAUGCUUCCAGAAGGAUGCACAGCCAAAAACGAUGGUUUGCAUGCCCUGCCGAAGGACCCUAUCAUGCGCAAUAGGUGGUUGGAUUUCGUUGCUCUCCAGUGGUGACAAAGUGCACAGUUGGUCAUGAACGGAUGCCAGGACCUACAAGAAAGAGCAAAGCUUGUCAGGAAAGACCUCAGAAUAAAAGUGUGUCAUGCGACACAAGUACUCGUGUGAUAAGGAGGACCGAGCACUCCCCCAUUCUCAUCGACGGGGCUGUAGUGGAGCAGGUUGAGAGCUUCAAGUUC
Molecule: long non-coding RNA, 307 nt
Organism: Salvelinus namaycush (lake trout)
Lineage: Eukaryota; Metazoa; Chordata; Actinopteri; Salmoniformes; Salmonidae
Exons: 3
Source: RefSeq, a predicted model, not a curated record